UACGAAGGGGGCUAGCGUUGCUCGGAAUUACUGGGCGUAAAGGGCGCGUAGGCGGCCAGAUUAGUCAGGCGUGAAAGCCCUGGGCUCAACCUGGGGACUGCGCUUGAUACGGUUUGGCUUGAGGACGGAAGAGGCUCGUGGAAUUCCCAGUGUAGAGGUGAAAUUCGUAGAUAUUGGGAAGAACACCGGUGGCGAAGGCGGCGAGCUGGUCCGUACCUGACGCUGAGGCGCGACAGCGUGGGGAGCAAACAGG
RNAcentral lists this ribosomal RNA (253 nucleotides) under uncultured bacterium. RNAcentral describes it as "partial 16S ribosomal RNA". It matches the Rfam family "Bacterial small subunit ribosomal RNA", at positions 524 to 776 of the family's 1533-position model. The record is from RNAcentral.